AGAGUGAACGCUGGCGGCAGGCCUAACACAUGCAAGUCGAGCGGCAGCGCAGCAGUAGCAAUACUGUGGGCGGCGAGCGGCGGACGGGUGAGGAAUACAUCGGAAUCUACCCAGUCGUGGGGGAUAACGUAGGGAAACUUACGCUAAUACCGCAUACGACCUGAGGGUGAAAGCAGGGGAUCGCAAGACCUUGCGCGAUUGGAUGAGCCGAUGUCCGAUUAGCUAGUUGGUGAGGUAAGGCUCACCAAGGCGACGAUCGGUAGCUGGUCUGAGAGGAUGAUCAGCCACACGUGGAACUGAGACACGGUCCAGACUC
This 316-nucleotide ribosomal RNA is filed under the name uncultured soil bacterium. Its description in RNAcentral is "bacterial SSU rRNA". It matches the Rfam family "Bacterial small subunit ribosomal RNA", at positions 26 to 338 of the family's 1533-position model. The record is from RNAcentral.